Molecule: ribosomal RNA, 273 nt
Filed under: uncultured bacterium
Lineage: Bacteria
Description: partial 16S ribosomal RNA
Rfam family: Bacterial small subunit ribosomal RNA
Source: RNAcentral
UACGUAGGGGCCGAGCGUUGUCCGGAGUUACUGGGCGUAAAGCGCGCGCAGGCGGUCCCCUAAGCCCGGCGUGAAAGCCCCCGGCUCAACCGGGGAGGGUCGUCGGGGACUGGGGGACUUGAGGACGGCAGGGGCCGGUGGAAUCCCCGGUGUAGUGGUGAAAUGCGUAGAGAUCGGGGGGAACACCCGUGGCGAAGGCGGCCGGCUGGGCCGGACCUGACGCUGAGGCGCGAAGGCGUGGGGAGCGAACGGGAUUAGAAACCCCCGUAGUCC